CGCACAUUGCGCCCAUGAGUAUUCUCGUGGGCAUGCCUGUUCGAGCGUCAUUUCGACCCUUAAGCCUAGCUUAGUGUUGGGAACCUACCGCCGGCGCAAGCCCCGUAGCUCCCGAAAACCAACGGCGGAUUUGUAGCGUCCUCUGAGCGUAGUAAUUAUUUUCUCGCUUUUGCCAGGCGCUGUAGACCCAGCCGCUAAACCCCCAAUUUUUAAAGGUUGACCUCGGAUCAGGUAGGAAUACCCGCUGAACUUAA
RNAcentral lists this unclassified non-coding RNA (254 nucleotides) under Xylariales sp. Its description in RNAcentral is "partial contains 5.8S ribosomal RNA, internal transcribed spacer 2, and large subunit ribosomal RNA". The record is from RNAcentral. Lineage: Eukaryota; Fungi; Ascomycota; Sordariomycetes; Xylariales.